AUUGUCUCGUCUUCCUGUUUGAGGCGGGUUCGAGCGCCGGGAGUGAGGAGUUGAGGUCUGGGAAGCCUCCGCUCCUUGAUAUUCUUGAGACAGCGGCUUUCCUGGCAAACUUCAAGGACACAUGAUCAGCUAAACUUUAGUGUGCCUCCAACUCCAGGCCACCUGGGCUUUUAACGAUUUGCAACUCCCAUUUAGUUGUAAAGCUCAAGGAGUCCAAGUUUAAAGAAACAGGGAUGGACUCUAGUGACUGCUGUGCUGUAUCGCUCAGAUCCUCCUUCAGGAUUAAGGACUUAUUCUUCCAAGUGCGGGGAGUGCAGCCAUCCGACAGCCCUCGGCCCUCAGCCUUCUUUGUGAAUUGCCCUCGGCUAAAGGAACCUGCCUCACUUAGGCUCACACCACUCAGAACUCUUGCCAUGAAAGCAUGACUGACCAACAGCCAUCUGCAUCCACCCCUGUGUUUGUGCUGAGGUUGCUCCUGGGCUGCUCCCAGCCAGCGACUGAGCACAGCAGGGAACCAGUUCAUGCCCAUCACCAUGAUCACACGACAUUGAUGAUCAGUGAAAAUACAACUGUGGUUCCCAGGGGCAGACCUCAGCAAACAGAAAUCUUCAGCGAACAGAAAUCUUCAGCGAUAACCGUCAGAAAGGGUCAUUGUGUCUCAGCGAGGGCUGGUGGAGGAAGAAGGAAAAGAGGAGCAUGGGUCCUCGGCUCUAACUUCAGAAUAAUGAGAUGGGACAGUGCCAUAAUUAUUUAGUCUACAAAGGUGAAGUC
Molecule: long non-coding RNA, 771 nt
Filed under: Equus asinus (donkey)
Lineage: Eukaryota; Metazoa; Chordata; Mammalia; Perissodactyla; Equidae
Description: lncRNA (ENSEASG00005030659.1)
Source: RNAcentral